CCGUAAAUGAACCUGCGGAAGGAUCAUUACCGAGUGAGGGCCCUCUGGGUCCAACCUCCCACCCGUGUUUAUUUUACCUUGUUGCUUCGGCGGGCCCGCCUUAACUGGCCGCCGGGGGGCUUACGCCCCCGGGCCCGCGCCCGCCGAAGACACCCUCGAACUCUGUCUGAAGAUUGAAGUCUGAGUGAAAAUAUAAAUUAUUUAAAACUUUCAACAACGGAUCUCUUGGUUCCGGCAUCGAUGAAGAACGCAGCGAAAUGCGAUACGUAAUGUGAAUUGCAAAUUCAGUGAAUCAUCGAGUCUUUGAACGCACAUUGCGCCCCCUGGUAUUCCGGGGGGCAUGCCUGUCCGAGCGUCAUUGCUGCCCUCAAGCCCGGCUUGUGUGUUGGGCCCCGUCCCCCGAUCUCCGGGGGACGGGCCCGAAAGGCAGCGGCGGCACCGCGUCCGGUCCUCGAGCGUAUGGGGCUUUGUCACCCGCUCUGUAGGCCCGGCCGGCGCUUGCCGAUCAACCCAAAUUUUUAUCCAGGUUGAC
RNAcentral lists this ribosomal RNA (532 nucleotides) under Penicillium crustosum. Its description in RNAcentral is "eukaryotic LSU rRNA". The stretch from base 206 to 358 matches the Rfam family "5.8S ribosomal RNA". The record is from RNAcentral. Lineage: Eukaryota; Fungi; Ascomycota; Eurotiomycetes; Eurotiales; Aspergillaceae.